GAUGAACGCUAGCUACAGGCUUAACACAUGCAAGUCGAGGGGAAACGGCAUCGAAAGCUUGCUUUUGAUGGGCGUCGACCGGCGCACGGGUGAGUAACGCGUAUCCAACCUGCCCAUCACUUGGGAAUAACCUUGCGAAAGUAAGACUAAUGCCCAAUGACAUCCCACGAAGGCAUCCGAAUGGGAUUAAAGAUUUAUCGGUGAUGGAUGGGGAUGCGUCUGAUUAGCUUGUUGGCGGGGUGACGGCCCACCAAGGCAACGAUCAGUAGGGGUUCUGAGAGGAAGGUCCCCCACAUGGGAACUGGGACACGGUCCAAACGCCUACGGGAGGCAGCAGUGUGGAAUAUUGGUCAACGGGCGAGAGCCUGAACCAGCCAAGUAGAGUGCAGGAUGACGGCCCUAUGGGUUGUAAACUGCUUUUAUAAGGGAAUAAAGUGGGUCACGUGUGACUUUUUGCAUGUACCUGAUGAAUAAGGACCGGCUAAUUCCGUG
Molecule: ribosomal RNA, 492 nt
Filed under: uncultured bacterium
Lineage: Bacteria
Description: partial 16S ribosomal RNA
Rfam family: Bacterial small subunit ribosomal RNA
Source: RNAcentral